GAACGGGUGAGUAAUACGUAGAUAACCUGCCUUCAAGUUUGGAAUACCCAGAGGAAACUUUGGUUAAUACCGAAUAUGAACAAGAGAGGCAUCUCUUUUGUUUGAAAGGGGCUCCAAAGCCCCGCCUGAAGAUGGAUCUACGGCGCAUUAGCUAGUUGGUGAGAUAACAGCUCACCAAGGCGAGGAUGCGUAGCCGGCCUGAGAGGGUGAACGGCCACACUGGAACUGAGACACGGUCCAGACUCCUACGGGAGGCAGCAGUAGGGAGUUUUCGGCAAUGGGGGAAACCCUGACCGAGCAACGCCGCGUGAGUGAUGAAGGUCCUAUGGAUUGUAAAGCUCUGUUGUAAGGAAUAAAUGGCUAGGGGAGGAAAUGCCCUUAGUUUGAUAGUACCUUACCAGAAAGCCACGGCUAACUACGUGCCAGCAGCCGCGGUAAUACGUAGGUGGCAAGCGUUAUCCGGAAUUAUUGGGCGUAAAG
Molecule: ribosomal RNA, 480 nt
Filed under: uncultured bacterium
Lineage: Bacteria
Description: bacterial SSU rRNA
Rfam family: Bacterial small subunit ribosomal RNA
Source: RNAcentral